CACAAAGUACACAGAUGGGCAUUUGCAAUGUUAUGUUGAAAAUACUGCUCCAGAUCUCAAGUUUAGGAACAAAAGAUCCUGUUCUGGCACCUGAACAGCUGAGUAGGAGUUAUAGAGCCCAUAACAUGAGGAUUCCCCUGCUGCUCUUCUGUUCUGUUCAGACCCAGAGUACAACAUGAGAUCAAGAUGUGCCCAAAUGUCUGCGGCU
RNAcentral lists this long non-coding RNA (208 nucleotides) under Serinus canaria (Common canary). RNAcentral's name for it is "lncRNA (ENSSCAG00000009667.1)". Lineage: Eukaryota; Metazoa; Chordata; Aves; Passeriformes; Fringillidae. The record is from RNAcentral.